GACGAACGCUGGCGGCGUGCUUAACACAUGCAAGUCGAACGGAAAGGCCCCAGCUUGCUGGGGUACUCGAGUGGCGAACGGGUGAGUAACACGUGGGUGAUCUGCCCUGCACUCUGGGAUAAGCCUGGGAAACUGGGUCUAAUACCGGAUAGGACCGUGCUUUAGUGUGUGCGGUGGAAAGUUUUUCGGUGCAGGAUGAGCCCGCGGCCUAUCAGCUUGUUGGUGGGGUAAUGGCCUACCAAGGCGGCGACGGGUAGCCGGCCUGAGAGGGUGUACGGCCACAUUGGGACUGAGACACGGCCCAGACUCCUACGGGAGGCAGCAGUGGGGAAUAUUGCACAAUGGGCGCAAGCCUGAUGCAGCGACGCCGCGUGGGGGAUGACGGCCUUCGGGUUGUAAACCCCUUUCGGCAGGGACGAAGUUUUUGUGACGGUACCUGCAUAAGAAGCACCGGCUAACUACGUG
This 465-nucleotide ribosomal RNA is filed under the name uncultured bacterium. RNAcentral's name for it is "partial 16S ribosomal RNA". It matches the Rfam family "Bacterial small subunit ribosomal RNA", at positions 28 to 507 of the family's 1533-position model. The record is from RNAcentral.